This 228-nucleotide ribosomal RNA is filed under the name uncultured bacterium. Its description in RNAcentral is "partial 16S ribosomal RNA". It matches the Rfam family "Bacterial small subunit ribosomal RNA", at positions 15 to 228 of the family's 1533-position model. The record is from RNAcentral.
GAUCAUGGCUCAGGAUGAACGCUAGCUACAGGCUUAACACAUGCAAGUCGAGGGGCAGCAUGGUCUUAGCUUGCUAAGGCCGAUGGCGACCGGCGCACGGGUGAGUAACGCGUAUCCAACCUGCCUUACACUCUUGGACAGCCUUCUGAGAGGGAGAUUAAUACAAGAUGUUAUCAUGGGUAAGGCAUUUCGUCAUGAUUAAAGGUUUUAACCGGGUUACGGUUAAGG